RNAcentral lists this unclassified non-coding RNA (244 nucleotides) under uncultured fungus. RNAcentral describes it as "partial contains 5.8S ribosomal RNA, internal transcribed spacer 2, and large subunit ribosomal RNA". The record is from RNAcentral. Lineage: Eukaryota; Fungi.
AACGCACAUGGCGCCCUCUGGUAUUCCGGGGGGCACGCCUGUCCGAGCGUCAUUUCAACAAUCGAACCCCAGGUUCGGUAUUGGACCCGGUCCCCGGACCCGUCCGUAACCCGUACGGCGGUACCGUCCGGCCCCGAGCGUAGCAGAAAUACGUCGCUCCGGUGCCCGCGACGGGACCUGCCGCAUAACCGGAACCCCUCCACAGUUUGACCUCGGAUCAGGCGGGGAUACCCGCUGAACUUAA